CCUACGGGGUGCUGCAGUGGGGGAUAUUGCACAAUGGGGGGAACCCUGAUGCAGCGACGCCGCGUGGGUGAAGAAGCGCCUCGGCGCGUAAAGCCCUGUCAGCAGGGAAGAAAAUGACGGUACCUGAAGAAGAAGCCCCGGCUAACUACGUGCCAGCAGCCGCGGGAAUACGUAGGGGGCAAGCGUUAUCCGGAUUUACUGGGUGUAAAGGGGGCGCAGACGGCGAUGCAAGCCAGGAGUGAAAGCCCGGGGCCGAACCCCGGGACUGCUCUUGGAACUGCGUGGCUGGAGUGCAGGAGAGGCAGGCGGAAUUCCUGGUGUAGCGGUGAAAUGCGUAGAUAUCAGGAGGAACACCGGUGGCGAAGGCGGCCUGCUGGACUGCAACUGACGUUGAGGCCCGAAAGCGUGGGGAGCAAACAGGAUUAGAUACCCUUGUAGUC
RNAcentral lists this ribosomal RNA (440 nucleotides) under uncultured bacterium. RNAcentral describes it as "partial 16S ribosomal RNA". It matches the Rfam family "Bacterial small subunit ribosomal RNA", at positions 338 to 795 of the family's 1533-position model. The record is from RNAcentral.